CUUCCGCCAGCGACCGGCGCACGGGUGAGUAACACGUAUGCAACCUGCCCCUGUCAGGGGGACAACCCGCCGAAAGGCGGGCUAAACCCGCGUACAUGCCACCGGGGCAUCCCGGAGGCAGGAAAGGCUUCGGCCGGACAGGGAUGGGCAUGCGGCGCAUUAGGCAGUAGGCGGGGUAACGGCCCACCUAACCGACGAUGCGUAGGGGUUCUGAGAGGAAGGUCCCCCACACUGGUACUGAGACACGGACCAGACUCCUACGGAAGGCAGCAG
RNAcentral lists this ribosomal RNA (273 nucleotides) under uncultured bacterium. Its description in RNAcentral is "partial 16S ribosomal RNA". It matches the Rfam family "Bacterial small subunit ribosomal RNA", at positions 82 to 354 of the family's 1533-position model. The record is from RNAcentral.